This 382-nucleotide ribosomal RNA is filed under the name uncultured eukaryote. RNAcentral's name for it is "partial 18S ribosomal RNA". It matches the Rfam family "Eukaryotic small subunit ribosomal RNA", at positions 592 to 976 of the family's 1831-position model. The record is from RNAcentral.
UGUAAGCGUAUACCAAAGUUGUUGCAGUUAAAACGCUCGUAGUAGGAAUUUGGCAGUUCCGGAUGUGUGCACGUCGUGUGCGCACUUCGCGGGGAUUGCUUUUGUGGUCUUGCGUAGGAUGAGGCACUUUUAUUAGUGAACGUCCUCACGCAACCACUUUUUACUGUGAGAAAAUCAGAGUGCUCAAAGCAGGCAUUUGCCGUGAAUGUAUUAGCAUGGAAUAAUAGAAUAGGACUUGGUUCUAUUUUGUUGGUUUGUUGGGACUGAGUAAUGAUUAAGAGGGACAGUUGGGGGCAUUUGUAUUUCGGUGCUAGAGGUGAAAUUCUUAGAUUACCGAAAGACAAACUGCUGCGAAAGCGUCUGCCAAGGAUGUUUUCAUUGA